UACUUUGCUUUUGGGUGUUUAAGAACAU
This 28-nucleotide non-coding RNA is filed under the name Mus musculus (house mouse). Lineage: Eukaryota; Metazoa; Chordata; Mammalia; Rodentia; Muridae. The record is from RNAcentral.